RNAcentral lists this ribosomal RNA (433 nucleotides) under uncultured bacterium. RNAcentral's name for it is "partial 16S ribosomal RNA". It matches the Rfam family "Bacterial small subunit ribosomal RNA", at positions 29 to 507 of the family's 1533-position model. The record is from RNAcentral.
AACGAACGCUGGCGGCAUGCCUAACACAUGCAAGUCGAACGAAGGCUUCGGCCUUAGUGGCGCACGGGUGCGUAACGCGUGGGAAUCUGCCCUUUGGUUCGGAAUAACAGCUGGAAACGGCUGCUAAUACCGGAUGAUGACGAAAGUCCAAAGAUUUAUCGCCAGAGGAUGAGCCCGCGUUGGAUUAGGUAGUUGGUGGGGUAAAGGCCUACCAAGCCGACGAUCCAUAGCUGGUCUGAGAGGAUGAUCAGCCACACUGGGACUGAGACACGGCCCAGACUCCUACGGGAGGCAGCGGUGGGGAAUAUUGGACAAUGGGCGCAAGCCUGAUCCAGCAAUGCCGCGUGAGUGAUGAAGGCCCUAGGGUUGUAAAGCUCUUUUACCCGGGAAGAUAAUGACUGUACCGGGAGAAUAAGCCCCGGCUAACUCCGUG